This 23-nucleotide small nuclear RNA is filed under the name Arabidopsis thaliana (thale cress). RNAcentral's name for it is "snRNA_10889". The record is from RNAcentral. Lineage: Eukaryota; Viridiplantae; Streptophyta; Magnoliopsida; Brassicales; Brassicaceae.
CUCACUAUUCAAAUAGAGUCAUC